GGCGCAAGUGAAAUACCACUACU
RNAcentral lists this small RNA (23 nucleotides) under Arabidopsis thaliana (thale cress). RNAcentral's name for it is "Ath_wt_19855". The record is from RNAcentral. Lineage: Eukaryota; Viridiplantae; Streptophyta; Magnoliopsida; Brassicales; Brassicaceae.